AAUAUUAAUGGUGAUGCUGGCUCUUUGGCUACUUUGUCAUUGCUGAUCCAACCUCUGUUGACAAGAUUGUUCAUGCAGUCCACAGUGCUGUAAAGAACCUGAAGGUAUCCGAGGCAGAUGUUGCUCGGGGUAAGAACCAGGCGAAGGCUGCAAUCCUAAUGGCAACAGAGUCUGGAGCGGAGUGUGUGGAAGACAUGGGUCUGCAGGCUCUUUUUACUGGCCAGUUUGUUAACCCUGUUGCUGCAACUGCAGCCAUUGAUGCUGUUACACCUGCUGCAGUGGAAACUGCACUUCAGAAAGUCCGAAGAAGCAAGAUGAGUAUGAGUGCAGUGGGGAGUGUCAAAAAUGUGCCAUAUUUGGAUCAGUUGUAAAAAUAAAAAUUUACCUGCUCACAGGUGUAAUAACUCGAAAUUGUUAUAUAAUUACUAAGUUGGUUCCACCUGUAGCCUACAAAGUGUAGCAGAAGAAACCACUUAUCACCUAAAACUUGAAAGUGGACCAAACUUAUUUUAUUGUGUGUUAGUAUUUGGCAAUAAUUAUCUACUGAUUUCAUAAAAUUAUAUGUUUUAAACUUUAAUUAUAAAAUCUAAAUUUUGUAGACUCCUGUAGUUAAUAAUGGCAUAAAGUGAGGACCAGUAUAUCCAGCACUGAAGUGAACUUGUUUAUGGUUGUCUGCUUCAAGUGAAUGCAGUUUAAUGUACAUAGAUGACUGAAAGGUUGUCCAAAAUUAUCAUGUUGUAGAUAUUUAAAAUAUUAAUUGUAAAGGUAAAAUGUGUUCUAUUCCUCUGGAAUAAAUUGUACU
Homarus americanus (American lobster) is the source of this 802-nucleotide long non-coding RNA. RefSeq lists it as uncharacterized. The transcript has 4 exons. NCBI's taxonomy places the organism in Eukaryota, Metazoa, Arthropoda, Malacostraca, Decapoda, Nephropidae. The record is from RefSeq and is a predicted model, not a curated record.